RNAcentral lists this transfer RNA (75 nucleotides) under Halobacteriales archaeon. RNAcentral describes it as "tRNA-Val". It matches the Rfam family "tRNA". From Rfam's summary of the family: Transfer RNA (tRNA) molecules are approximately 80 nucleotides in length. Their secondary structure includes four short double-helical elements and three loops (D, anti-codon, and T loops). Lineage: Archaea; Methanobacteriati; Methanobacteriota; Halobacteria; Halobacteriales. The record is from RNAcentral.
GGGUCGGUGGUCUAGUCUGGUUAUGACAUCGCAUUUACACUGCGGGGAUCGCAGGUUCAACUCCUGCCCGACCCA